AGCACUAUACGGUGAACUGCGAAUGGCUCAUUAAAUCAGUUAUCGUUUAUUUGAUAGUACCUUACUACAUGGAUAACCGUGGUAAUUCUAGAGCUAAUACAUGCUAAAAACCUCGACUUCGGAAGGGGUGUAUUUAUUAGAUAAAAAACCAAUGCCCUUCGGGGCUCCUUGGUGAAUCAUAAUAACUUAACGAAUCGCAUGGCCUUGCGCCGGCGAUGGUUCAUUCAAAUUUCUGCCCUAUCAACUUUCGAUGGUAGGAUAGUGGCCUACCAUGGUAUCAACGGGUAACGGGGAAUUAGGGUUCGACUCCGGAGAGGGAGCCUGAGAAACGGCUACCACAUCCAAGGAAGGCAGCAGGCGCGCAAAUUACCCAAUCCCGACACGGGGAGGUAGUGACAAUAAAUACUGAUACAGGGCUCUUUUGGGUCUUGUAAUUGGAAUGAGUACAAUUUAAAUCCCUUAACGAGGAACAAUUGGAGGGCAAGUCUGGUGCCAGCAGCCGCGGUAAUUCCAGCUCCAAUAGCGUAUAUUAAAGUUGUUGCAGUUAAAAAGCUCGUAGUUGAACCUUGGGCCUGGCUGGCCGGUCCGCCUCACCGCGUGUACUGGUCCGGCCGGGCCUUUCCUUCUGGGGAACCUCAUGCCCUUCACUGGGCGUGUUGGGGAACCAGGACUUUUACUUUGAAAAAAUUAGAGUGUUCAAAGCAGGCCUUUGCUCGAAUACAUUAGCAUGGAAUAAUAGAAUAGGACGUGUGGUUCUAUUUUGUUGGUUUCUAGGACCGCCGUAAUGAUUAAUAGGGAUAGUCGGGGGCAUCAGUAUUCAAUCGUCAGAGGUGAAAUUCUUGGAUUGAUUGAAGACUAACUACUGCGAAAGCAUUUGCCAAGGAUGUUUUCAUUAAUCAGUGAACGAAAGUUAGGGGAUCGAAGACGAUCAGAUACCGUCGUAGUCUUAACCAUAAACUAUGCCGACUAGGGAUCGGACGGUGUUAGUAUUUUGACCCGUUCGGCACCUUACGAGAAAUCAAAGU
This 1025-nucleotide ribosomal RNA is filed under the name Cladosporium oxysporum. RNAcentral describes it as "SSU rRNA". It matches the Rfam family "Eukaryotic small subunit ribosomal RNA", at positions 68 to 1104 of the family's 1831-position model. Lineage: Eukaryota; Fungi; Ascomycota; Dothideomycetes; Cladosporiales; Cladosporiaceae. The record is from RNAcentral.